GGUGUUUCCUCCUUUGGUUAUAAGAUGAAUUGGUCUUAUAGGUUUUCUAAAAUUCCAAAUUGUAAUUGAUAUUUGAUGAGUGUUACUUUUUUGUGCUUAUACUUCAAUGUGUGAACAGACAGAUGGAACUUACACGCACAACAUUGAAAACUUUGUUCACCAAGUAUGCAAGCUGGCACGUGUACAUGGGGAUGAACAUCAUAAGAGCCGCGUGAGAGCUUCUAGUCUGCAAUGCGUUUCGGCAAUGUGUGGUUCAUGGCAGAGUUCUUA
RNAcentral lists this unclassified non-coding RNA (270 nucleotides) under Hevea brasiliensis (rubber tree). The record is from RNAcentral. Lineage: Eukaryota; Viridiplantae; Streptophyta; Magnoliopsida; Malpighiales; Euphorbiaceae.